CUGCAAUCGGUCCCCAAACUCGCUGAAUGAAGCUCAUUCAGAUUAGAUAAUUUAUCUGAAGACACACGGUUAGUAAAAGGCAGAACCCAGGUUUGUAUUCCGAAGCCCUUUUGUUCUUUUCCACCACAUUAUUAUGGACUCCCUAACAGUAAUCCUAGUAAUUUUUAAAUGAACAUACACCAUAGUUCCUGUCCUGAACACCGAGAGACGUUGGUUCACGGAGGUGAGAAAGUUGACGCAUCCCGCUGCGUCCCCUCCACCGCCGCGCACCCAGUCUCGCAGCUGGCAUGGUGUUUCCUGGUGACAUGAACUCAACCAGCUGGAGGCUCGGGAUCUGGGGAUCGGGGUGACAUCCUUUGGUCUGGUUUGCAAGAGGACCCGCACGCCUCCAGCUGGGACAGAAUUGAAAGGUUCAGAAAGGAAAGCUGGGGAGGUGGGGAAGGAAGAGUGCAAAAGUGACGCUGUGCCAGGGUCUCCAGGGCCAAGCAGCCCCGGGCCAGGCUGUGCACUCCGACCUGCGCAAACGCGUGGGGCGGUGCAUCUCCGGAUCUGGAAGUUGCCUCUGCCCUCACCAAAUAUGGCGGCCCCGGCGCCGCUCGCCCGCCUCUCGUAACCAAUGGAACCGCGGCGGUCGGCUGAUUCACGCAGGCGGUCUCUGCUCUACGCUCUCUGAUGCAACGCCGGAGUCGCGGAAGCCGUUGGUGCACGUCGGCGUGGCAAGACGUCGGCGGUAUUGCAGUCUAUGUCCUUGGAGGUGACCAGAGCCACUGCAGCCAUGGUGCUAGAGCUGUACGUCUCUGACCGAGAGGGAAGCGAUGCCACGGGAGAUGGAACCAAGGAGAAACCAUUUAAAACUGGUCUAAAGGCUUGAUGACAGUAGGAAAAGAACCAUUUCCUACCAUUUACGGAUAGAUUCCACAAAAGAAAA
Long non-coding RNA from Cercocebus atys (sooty mangabey), 928 nucleotides. RefSeq lists it as uncharacterized. The record is from RefSeq and is a predicted model, not a curated record. NCBI's taxonomy places the organism in Eukaryota, Metazoa, Chordata, Mammalia, Primates, Cercopithecidae. The transcript has 3 exons.